AGCCCGUUGGUCUAAUGGCAGGGCACAUGACUCUGAAUCAUGGAGCGGAGGUUCAACUCCUCCACGGGCUG
Molecule: transfer RNA, 71 nt
Filed under: Lachnospiraceae bacterium
Lineage: Bacteria; Bacillati; Bacillota; Clostridia; Lachnospirales; Lachnospiraceae
Description: tRNA-Gln
Rfam family: tRNA
About the family: Transfer RNA (tRNA) molecules are approximately 80 nucleotides in length. Their secondary structure includes four short double-helical elements and three loops (D, anti-codon, and T loops).
Source: RNAcentral